GACAGAGGGUGCAAACGUUUGUUCGGAAUUACUGGGCGUAAAGCGCGUGUAGGCGGCUUGGCAAGUCGGGUGUGAAAGCCCUGGGCUUAACCUAGGAAGUGCACUCGAAACUGCCGAGCUUGAGUUCUGGAGAGGAAGGCGGAAUUCUCGGUGUAGAGGUGAAAUUCGUAGAUAUCGAGAGGAACACCGGUGGCGAAGGCGGCCUCUGGGACAGCAACUGACGCUGAGACGCGAAAGCGUGGGGAGCAAACAGGAUUGAAGAU
This 263-nucleotide ribosomal RNA is filed under the name uncultured bacterium. RNAcentral's name for it is "partial 16S ribosomal RNA". It matches the Rfam family "Bacterial small subunit ribosomal RNA", at positions 524 to 785 of the family's 1533-position model. The record is from RNAcentral.